UCCCUUCCAAACAGUAAAGUUCCUCUUUGUCUCUCAGUAGGAAAUUUAAACCAGACAGUACAAGGCUACAUUUCAGUGUUACAAGCCAAUCAGUUUGCUAAUUGUUCUGUGAGAUUUGUUUGCAAAGUUUAAGGUGUUAAGUAGGACUGUGAACAUCUGGGUCUGCUUGCUGCUGGCAUUCUGCCAGAGCCCCAGCAACAAGACCGCCUCCCAGCAACGAGACUGCCUGUCAGCCUUGCAAGCGUCUCAGCAACAACACUGCCUCCCAGCUUGCAAGGUAAUUACUUUCCCAAUUACUGUACACCAAAACGAAGUAACUGUCUUGGUCAACAAAUCUGCCUCCCAACUUUCAAGGUAAUCACUUUCUCAAUUACAAUAUACAAACUGUUAUGGAACUUUACUUAACAAAGCCUUAAGACCGGGUAGUGACACUAUCAAUAUGUCAAUUUAAAGAAAAGAGAUUUUUUUUUUUGUUCUUGUAGUCAUCUUGUCUGUCAAUGUAUCAGAGGGUUAAAAUAACAAAUUGCUUGAAAUGCCAAUAAUUAAUAUUCUGUUUUAUGUUGACAUUCUACCAGAUGCCGAAAAAAA
This is a long non-coding RNA of Oreochromis aureus, 588 nucleotides long. RefSeq lists it as uncharacterized. The transcript has 2 exons. Lineage: Eukaryota; Metazoa; Chordata; Actinopteri; Cichliformes; Cichlidae. The record is from RefSeq and is a predicted model, not a curated record.